Trichomycterus rosablanca is the source of this 685-nucleotide long non-coding RNA. RefSeq lists it as uncharacterized. Lineage: Eukaryota; Metazoa; Chordata; Actinopteri; Siluriformes; Trichomycteridae. The record is from RefSeq and is a predicted model, not a curated record. The transcript is spliced from 3 exons.
UUAGUUCGAGUAAGAUGACGAGAGAGUAAGAGAGGAAGAUAAAUGGAAUAAGUUGGCGAUGCGAAUAUAUAAUAAUCUGUUGAAGGACGGUGCUGUUCACUCUUUACAGGUCAUCAGUCUCCCCAUCGAAAGGCACGGUCUCCAUCUCCAUGUGGAUGUUGCUUGUCUCUCCGCUACCCACCCAGCCAAUGGGAGUGCGGUUGAAGGAGGGCCGUGAAUUUAUAUCAUGCUGGUACACCACUGCAGGCUCAGGAUUGUCCACCACCUCAAUGUCUGGCAGCUGGAAGGUCAUUAGCUGAGAAGCUUUCUCAAAGCCACCAAAGGGCAUGGCAAUCCUAUUAGAGGAAAAAUACAGUUGCAGUGAGACCAUCCUCUAAGAACACAGGUGGACCCAAAGCAAGAAAAAUGCCACCACUACAUGACAUAGCCACAUAGCAAACAGACCUCUACCCUGACUGAGGAGAGCCAACCGCUUCUUUUCACCUGAAUGGUUUAUACAGUAAUGCAGCAGCAAUGAGGAAUCCCUUCAGCCCAGCUACCAUCAGCCAUAGCCGAUCAUGUCUGUAUAGACACCAAGCAGGCCGAUAACAGAGCUGAGAUUUGGACUUCAGAGCUCAAGAUCUCAGCAGAGUUAUUUUGAUGACUGAGCUUUCUGACUAUGGCUCUAGUCAUAUGUGGCCAAAUA